GGGUGCGAUCAUACCAGCACUAAAGCACCGGAUCCCAUCAGAACUCCGCAGUUAAGCGUGCUUGGGCGAGAGUAGUACUAGGAUGGGUGACCUCCUGGGAAGUCCUCGUGUUGCACCCC
Molecule: ribosomal RNA, 119 nt
Filed under: Wisteria floribunda (Japanese wisteria)
Lineage: Eukaryota; Viridiplantae; Streptophyta; Magnoliopsida; Fabales; Fabaceae
Also listed under: 2 other names
Source: RNAcentral